Molecule: ribosomal RNA, 460 nt
Filed under: uncultured bacterium
Lineage: Bacteria
Description: partial 16S ribosomal RNA
Rfam family: Bacterial small subunit ribosomal RNA
Source: RNAcentral
CCUACGGGAGGCAGCAGUGAGGAAUAUUGGUCAAUGGACGAGAGUCUGAACCAGCCAAGUAGCGUGAAGGAUGACUGCCCUAUGGGUUGUAAACUUCUUUUAUAUGGGAAUAAAACGUUCCACGUGUGGGAUUUUGUAUGUACCAUAUGAAUAAGGAUCGGCUAACUCCGUGCCAGCAGCCGCGGUAAUACGGAGGAUCCGAGCGUUAUCCGGAUUUAUUGGGUUUAAAGGGGGCGUAGGUGGAUUGUUAAGUCAGUUGUGAAAGUUUGCGGCUCAACCGUAAAAUUGCAGUUGAAACUGGCAGUCUUGAGUACAGUAGAGGUGGGCGGAAUUCGUGGUGUAGCGGUGAAAUGCUUAGAUAUCACGAAGAACUCCGAUUGCGAAGGCAGUUCACUGGACUGCAACUGACACUGAGGCUCGAAAGUGUGGGUAUCAAACGGGAUUAGAUACCCUUGUAGUC